This is a long non-coding RNA of Cyprinus carpio carpio, 668 nucleotides long. The record is from Ensembl. Lineage: Eukaryota; Metazoa; Chordata; Actinopteri; Cypriniformes; Cyprinidae.
GUAUUUCUCUUCAUUUCAAAUCCCUGUCGUGGCAGCACGGGUAAGGCAGAGGACUUUUCUCCCCUUCAAACUAAGGGGAAAACCCACCAGCGAGAAUCUAGUGCACGUCCUAAAGAGCAAACGGAGGACUUUGGGAGGAGGAAACAGUAGUUUGAAGGCACGCUGCGGUGGCAUCGGCUCGCUGUGUGCACUAGUGUCUCCACGCUUGCACUGGAUACACGAAGCAGGACGUUUUCACUGAUCUGCGACUCGCAGGAUCCCCGUGAUCUCCCUGAAAGCCGCCAAACGUUCACACGGACGGCGACCAACAGUUCCAGCAGACCCAGGCCUGGGGAAAUCAUUAACCAAAAACAAAGCACAACAGGACACUGGUGGGUCUGCGGUAUUGCGCCGGUCAUGUGGGGAUUGGGGGUGACCGCCGGUCGCUGCAGGAGUGAGUUAGCUGGAGAAGGCACAAUAUUUACCUCAUCUGUUCAAAUGAUGGCGUGUUGAGAGGAAGGCAUGGCAGCAUGACGUUUACUAAAGCAGGAUGGAACGAGACCCUGAGGCCUCACAGACUCUCCCAGCCGUGACUGUUUGUCUGAGAGAGCGCUAACUCCCAUGAACGAUAUACACUUGACAGAAAGCCACUGCCUUUUUGCUGUGUGUGUGUGUGUGUGUGUGUGUGU